UACGUAGGGUGCGAGCGUUACUCGGAAUUACUGGGCGUAAAGCGUGCGCAGGCGGUCUGUUAGGACCGAUGUGAAAUCCCCGGGCUUAACCUGGGAACUGCAUUGGUGACUGGCAGGCUUUGAGUGUGGCAGAGGGGGGUAGAAUUCCACGUGUAGCAGUGAAAUGCGUAGAGAUGUGGAGGAAUACCGAUGGCGAAGGCAGCCCCCUGGGCCAACACUGACGCUCAUGCACGAAAGCGUGGGGAGCAAACAGG
Molecule: ribosomal RNA, 254 nt
Filed under: uncultured bacterium
Lineage: Bacteria
Description: partial 16S ribosomal RNA
Rfam family: Bacterial small subunit ribosomal RNA
Source: RNAcentral